This 586-nucleotide ribosomal RNA is filed under the name uncultured bacterium. Its description in RNAcentral is "partial 16S ribosomal RNA". It matches the Rfam family "Bacterial small subunit ribosomal RNA", at positions 355 to 1375 of the family's 1533-position model. The record is from RNAcentral.
UGGGGAAUUUUGGACAAUGGGCGAAAGCCUGAUCCAGCAAUGCCGCGUGUGUGAAGAAGGCCUUCGGGUUGUAAAGCACUUUUGUCCGGAAAGAAAUCCUCUGGGUUAAUACCUCGGGGGGAUGACGGUACCGGAAGAAUAAGCACCGGCUAACUACGUGCCAGCAGCCGCGGUAAUACGUAGGGUGCAAGCGUUAAUCGGAAUUACUGGGCGUAAAGCGUGCGCAGGCGGUUUUGUAAGACGGAUGUGAAAUCCCCGGGCUUAACCUGGGGACUGCAUUCGUGACUGCAAGGCUAGAGUAUGGCAGAGGGGGGUAGAAUUCCACGUGUAGCAGUGAAAUGCGUAGAGAUGUGGAGGAAUACCGAUGGCGAAGGCAGCCCCCUGGGCCAAAUACUGACGCUCAUGCACGAAAGCGUGGGGAGCAAACAGGAUUAGAUACCCUGGUAGUCCACGCCCUAAACGAUGUCAACUAGUUGUUGGGGAUUCAUUUCCUUAGUAACGUAGCUAACGCGUGAAGUUGACCGCCUGGGGAGUACGGUCGCAAGAUUAAAACUCAAAGGAAUUGACGGGGUCAUAGCUGUUUCCU